UCUCUCAAAACCCUAAAAUCCAUAGCCCGCUCCCCUCCCCUCCCCUUUGCACACACAAGCCAGUACAAACACACACGUUUUUGUGGAAAUCAGAAGCAUGAAGCUUUGGUGUGGUUGCAAUCGAGGGGAAAAAGAUCGAGGUGUAACCGCAACUGGAUGCUUAAGUUUAGGAAAACAAGGGUUUGGUAUAAUAGGGUUUUGGUUGCUGUUUUUCAGAAGUAGAAGGCGGAGGUGGCCCCAACUGAUAUGAAGCCUGCAUUUAUCAGAUUUCCAGGUUUAUCUAUACUAUAUAAGAAGAUGAAGAGAGAGAGGUUGAGAUGGUUUCUGUGCUCUGGAACUUCAAAGAAGAAGAAGAUGAAGAUAUGGGGAUGGUUUCCAUGCUCUGCAACCUCAAAGAAGAUGAAGAGCUAUCACCUAUGAGCUUCAGAAGAUAUGGGGGAUGGAAAAAGGAGAAAGUGUUUCAUAGAGAGUUGACUACUUGACUUGGUCAAGUUAUCUGUUACCAUUUUGGCUCCGUUCUGUUGGGUUCUUAAGAUUGCUUCUUAACAUUGCUUUCUCAGUUGAUAUGAUAUGGUCAAUAAAAUUCCACUCAUGCUGGAAAUUCUUUCUAAAGAAUUAGGACCACAAUUGGUUGAAGAAUGCUAUGAUUUUUUAUACUUGGCGUCAACAACUCACAAUAUUUGGGUUCGAAUCUUUUACAAGUCUGGUGGCAUGACUGUUUUAGGACCUCGGAUUCCAAUCUUAACGGACGGUAUAUUUCAUAUAAAUUAUAACCGAAGUGUAUUAUUUUAGUUUCAAGGUUUGAGUAUCAUAUCUGGAUAUGGAUUUAAUAUUCCUGAAAUGUAUUUAUGUAUGAAACAUUCCCUCGACACAGUUAUAAAAGAGAACUAUUCAGAAUUGUCA
This is a long non-coding RNA of Helianthus annuus (common sunflower), 903 nucleotides long. RefSeq lists it as uncharacterized. NCBI's taxonomy places the organism in Eukaryota, Viridiplantae, Streptophyta, Magnoliopsida, Asterales, Asteraceae. The transcript has 7 exons. The record is from RefSeq and is a predicted model, not a curated record.